UAGGAUUCAUAAUUUCUUGGAAAGAACAAAGAAUUUCCAAAGGAAGAAGACAAUCACUGAUGCUCAACAGAGUCUGGGAAGGGAGAAGGAGAUACUCAGAAAACGUGUUAAUAAUUUGAUUAGAAGGAAAAGGCUUAUUGAGGUAGCUGUUGAAAAAUGAAGAAAUGAAACAUUGGGGUCGAGAUACACAGGCUAAGCUGGGAAGUCGCCUGGUGGAACUGUUAACUGAAACAGCUUUUGUGCAACCCCCCGUCAACCAGUCAGCAGAUAUUCCACCUGAUGUUCGACCUGCUUUUAGGCACAGAUUUAGAACUAUAACAAAUAAUCCAGGGCAUAA
RNAcentral lists this unclassified non-coding RNA (337 nucleotides) under Hevea brasiliensis (rubber tree). Lineage: Eukaryota; Viridiplantae; Streptophyta; Magnoliopsida; Malpighiales; Euphorbiaceae. The record is from RNAcentral.